GAUGAACGCUAGCGGCAGGCUUAACACAUGCAAGUCGAGGGGCAGCAUGAAGGUUAGCAAUAACCUUGAUGGCGACCGGCGCAAGGGUGCGUAACGCGUGAGCAACUUGCCCGUUUCAGGGGGAUAACCGGUGGAAACGCCGACUAAUACCCCAUAGUACAACUUUGAGGCAUCUUUUAGUUGUUAAAGAUUUAUCGGUAUCGGAUGGGGAUGCGUGACAUUAGGUAGUAGGUGAGGUAACGGCUCACCUAGCCGACGAUGUCUAGGGGUUCUGAGAGGAAGGUCCCCCACACUGGAACUGAGACACGGUCCAGACUCCUACGGGAGGCAGCAGUGAGGAAUAUUGGUCAAUGGUCGAGAGACUGAACCAGCCAUGCCGCGUGAAGGUCACGGCCCUAUGGGUCUUAAACUUCUUUUGUAAGGGAGCAAUAAGGUUCACGUGUGGACUGAUGAGAGUACCUUACGAAUAAGCAUCGGCUAACUCCGUG
Molecule: ribosomal RNA, 488 nt
Filed under: uncultured bacterium
Lineage: Bacteria
Description: bacterial SSU rRNA
Rfam family: Bacterial small subunit ribosomal RNA
Source: RNAcentral